UACGGGGGGGGCAAGCGUUGUUCGGAAUUACUGGGCGUAAAGGGCUCGUAGGUGGCCAACUAAGUCAGACGUGAAAUCCCUCGGCUUAACCGGGGAACUGCAUCUGAUACUGGAUGGCUUGAGAUUGGGAGAGGGAUGCGGAAUUCCAGGUGUAGCGGUGAAAUGCGUAGAUAUCGGGAGGAACACCAAUGGCGAAGGCAGCUUGCUGGGACGGUACUGACGCUGAGACGCGAAAGCGUGGGGAGCAAACAGG
Molecule: ribosomal RNA, 253 nt
Filed under: uncultured bacterium
Lineage: Bacteria
Description: partial 16S ribosomal RNA
Rfam family: Bacterial small subunit ribosomal RNA
Source: RNAcentral